GGGGAGUACGAACGCAAGUUUAAAACUCAAAGGAAUUGACGGGGACCUGCACAAGCAGUGGAGCGUGUGGUUUAAUUCGAGACAAAGCGAAAAACCUCACCAGGACUUGACAUGCUAGCGUCCUAUUCCCUGGAAACAGGGGAAAUUCGCAAGAAGGCUAGCACAGAUGCUGCAUGGCAGCCGUCAGCUCGUGGCGUGAGCUGUACCGUUAAGUCGGGUAACGAGCGCAACCCCCAUCAUAUGUUAAAUUAUUCAUAUGAAACUGCUCCGCUUUUGCGGAGAGGAAGGCGGGGAUGACGACAUGUCAGCACGGCUCUUACGUCCUGGGCUACACACACCCUACAAUGGCGAAUAACAACGAGUUGCAAGCCGGUAACGGCAAGCUAAUCUCUGAAAUUUCGCCUCAGUUCAGAUUGAGGUCUGAAAUUCGACCUCAUGAAGAUGGAAUUGCUAGUAAUCGCGAAUCAGCAGGUCGCGGUGAAUACGUUCUCAGGUCUUGUACAAAUUAAAUUGCGCCUUUCGGCCAAUUUUUCCAGAAGGUGACUCGCCUCGCUGAAGCUUUGCGAAGCGGGAAAUCCUUCUAA
This 584-nucleotide ribosomal RNA is filed under the name Candidatus Daviesbacteria bacterium. RNAcentral describes it as "bacterial SSU rRNA". It matches the Rfam family "Bacterial small subunit ribosomal RNA", at positions 875 to 1533 of the family's 1533-position model. Lineage: Bacteria; Candidatus Daviesiibacteriota. The record is from RNAcentral.